This 744-nucleotide ribosomal RNA is filed under the name uncultured bacterium. RNAcentral's name for it is "bacterial SSU rRNA". It matches the Rfam family "Bacterial small subunit ribosomal RNA", at positions 8 to 796 of the family's 1533-position model. The record is from RNAcentral.
AGAGUUUGAUCAUGGCUCAGAACGAACGCUGGCGGCAGGCUUAACACAUGCAAGUCGAACGCGUGUAGCAAUACACGAGUGGCGCACGGGUGAGUAACACGUGGAUAUCUGCCUUUUGGUUCGGGAUAACCCUGGGAAACUAGGGCUAAUACCGAAUGGUUCCUACGGGAUAAAGAUUUAUCGCCAAAAGAUGAGUCCGCGUCCGAUUAGCUAGUUGGUGAGGUAAUGGCUCACCAAGGCGACGAUCGGUAGCUGGUCUGAGAGGACGAUCAGCCACACUGGGACUGAGACACGGCCCAGACUCCUACGGGAGGCAGCAGUGGGGAAUAUUGGACAAUGGGGGCAACCCUGAUCCAGCCAUGCCGCGUGAGUGAUGAAGGCCUUCGGGUUGUAAAGCUCUUUUGGCGGGGACGAUGAUGACGGUACCCGCAGAAUAAGCCCCGGCUAACUUCGUGCCAGCAGCCGCGGUAAGACGAAGGGGGCUAGCGUUGUUCGGAAUUACUGGGCGUAAAGCGCGUGUAGGCGGUUGUCCAAGUUGGAUGUGAAAGCCUUGAGCUUAACUCAAGAAAUGCAUUCAGGACUGGAUGACUAGAGGACCGGAGAGGAUAGUGGAAUUCCCAGUGUAGUGGUGAAAUACGUAGAGAUUGGGAAGAACACCAGUGGCGAAGGCGGCUAUCUGGACGGUUUCUGACGCUAGGACACGAAAGCGUGGGGAGCAAACAGGAUUAGAUACCCUAGUAGUCC